CCAAUUUUUACGAGUCUGGACUCCGUGGCAUGGGAGGCUACAAAAAAAAAUGUUGGUGACGGCUCAUUAAGGGGCGCUAGUCUGUGCAAGACAAUAUGAACCUCGGCUUUGGGGCGUCAGGACUGUCUUGCAUUUUAAUUUGGACUUUAUCACCUGCCGCCUACCUCCGGUAACACUGUUGAAGGUUCACAGACUGAGUUGUGAGGAGUUUUAUUUGUUUAUGUAUUGUGCGAGCCGUCGUUCAGCCUCGCUGUCAUUGGCAGGCCCCGGCUGCCUUGCAGGUCUUCUGAAUAUG
Molecule: non-coding RNA, 295 nt
Organism: Biomphalaria pfeifferi
Lineage: Eukaryota; Metazoa; Mollusca; Gastropoda; Planorbidae
Source: the annotation of a GenBank genome assembly